Long non-coding RNA from Gallus gallus (chicken), 7076 nucleotides. The record is from Ensembl. NCBI's taxonomy places the organism in Eukaryota, Metazoa, Chordata, Aves, Galliformes, Phasianidae.
CUACCCUCUCCUGUUUUGUUGGAGGUCUGGGGAGAGAAGUGUAUGUGUGUACAUAAAACUACAUGCUUCAAAAAAAAUUGAGGUGUUUUUUAAAAGAUAGGAGUAGCUUUUCAUUCACAAUUGCACGCGUGACGUUGAUGUAUUGGAACAGGAUAUUCAAGAUCCUAAACAGAAUCCUACUUAGUGCUCUGCAUCUUUUGUCUCUGCAUUUCCUCUCUUCAACUCAGUUGUUGGUUCGGGAGUUACAUUUCCUGGUACAACCUUUUAAAGCACAUGUAUUUUAUUUGCAUGUAAAUUGGCAGAGGGAGGCAUCUUCCAUGUAAAUGCUGUGCUAAUCAUUACAGGUUCCAUGGUUCAUCAGGGCUUGGGUUCCUAAUUGGCUGCAGGAUUCCCAAAAGUGUCAAUAGUCUGAUUCAGAGCAAUAGGAAUUAUUGAAUCUACAUAAUAAAAGGAGUGUGAUGAAAGCCUGCAGCAGAUGUGAGGCUCAAUGUGUCAGCUCAACCUCAGGGGCAAGAAAAAGAGAAGUUGAAACUGGUUUCUUCCAUCUGAGAUGGCCACAGGCGAAGAGCAAACACACUUGGUCAAUUACCGUGGCUCAGAUGAUGCAUGGUAUUGCCAUUUUCAGGUCAAAUUUUAGAGUUAGUAGGAACUUUUCCAUGGGCUUUGUACAACAAUAUUCCACUGCGCACAGUGAGAAGUUUGAACACCCUUCGUUUCAGCGUCUAAUUUUGAGAUGAACUUGUAUCUUUCUUAAAAAAACAAAACAACAAGACCACCAAUAGCAAAAGAAAACCACCGGCCCCAAACUUUCACCUUUCUUCUCAGGUAAGACCUGUUUUCUUACUCCACUCUGUGGGAAAACUAAGAAUACGUUAGCUUAUUUCCAACUGUGAUUUGCUAAACUGAAGCUAAAGAUGGAAGAAUUCCAAACCUAGCAGUCUGGACCCUCUCAAACUAUGACUGGGGCCAGGGAAACAAGGUACCAGACAUCAAAACUUUGGAUGCUUUUUUUCUUUUCAUGUAGUAACUGAAACUCGAGUUCAUCUUUCUCUGCUUCCACGUAAUACAAGGAAAGACAUUUGAUUAGAUUAUGUGAGAUACUUUUUAAGGCAGAUGGAUUCAACACAUGGCUGCAGGACCAGGCUUUAUUAUCUCGACUAACGUGGACACAUUUUGAACACUGCUUCUCACUCUGCCAUCAGCCGCCACCACCUCUGCAGUACUGUGACAGCAAGAGAAAAAGGACAGGGAAGUGAUAAAGUUUGCACACGUAAGCAGAAAAGAACUUUCUGUCCAAAGCCAGCUGGCUUGGCUUGGCACUGAAGUGGCAUUUUAGCACAAGAUGACACGUUUAUGCGUGUACUGGAGCUAUGUUUCAAAACACUUGCCCUAGAUGCCACAGGAAGGGUCUGUGAAAUAGUUUAUCACCAAGUAACCAUAGAGAGCAGGUGAGCUGUCUGAAUACCAGUUUGUCUUCUGAGCUGGCAGACAAAUGAAACCACAGGAAGGAAUCAAAGCAAUGCUGCUGCUUUUAAUAAUUAGAAUUGAGCGUAUUUUCAGGGAAGUUUUGGGAAAGCAUGCGAUAAUCCUAUAUCACAGCCAAGAGGACAAUACGUCCAUUAAUAAAUGCCUGAUACCGUUUGCUCUGAUACAAAACUCAGAAAUGCACACCAGCCAAUCCAUGUUAACACAGGUCAUUUCUUUAAGUCUUGUUUUCCAAAUUAGAGCAAACCCCCCAGCAUAAGAUGAAUGGGCAUCUUUGCCUUUACCUGAUAAAGUGCCUGAACGAUUAGGGAGGCUGAUGGCUUCUACAGAUCCUGUGGGACACAGAUCAGUCAUCCCACGUGUAACCCCAAAGAAAUAACUGAAAAUAAAUCACAGCAACAUUUGUACUUUGGAGUCUGGAUACCAUCAUAAAAUGCCAAAAAUGCACCUUGUAUACUGCCCAAGUUUAAAGAUUAAACUUUAUUUCAGAAGUUAACUGCUAUAAAAGUUUCUUUGCUAUAUGUUGCACAUUAUAACAGAUCACGCAGACCUUCUGUGGGCUCUGUGUGUGAAGUUUACAAGACCAGGACAGUAGCAUAUGUCUCGUGUGCAAUUUGAUCAAUAGAGUUACAGCAAAACAGAUCAAGUCUAGGAAAAAUAAUGCUUAGAUUUACAUGUUAAGAGCAGCACUUGCUGUCUGCAGUGGGAGCCAAGGAUGCUCUGAGCAAGACACAAUUACCUGCCUUUCAAGAGUUCCACAAGUCAUUUGUCACGAGGUCCCACCAACUUCACAUCUACUUUAAAAAGCAGUUUGAAGACUUUUUAGGUAUUAUGGUCUCCUAUAUCUAUUUCUGUCUCUUUUGUUUCCUAACAGCAUGAGAUACUGACCACACAUACUGCAGUCAAAUAUAGAAAUUAAACCUACAGGAAAAAGGAUGUCUUCUCUUUAAUCUCUUGGAGAAUUUUCCAGACUAAAGCAUAGUUCUUAAAUUGAUAAUAUCCCUUUAAGAAUUUAUUUGCCAGGUAAUGUUAGAAGAAAAAAGAGAUUAGGGCUAGUUUGAACAUUAGAAAGGCCCUUUUUAAAAUCAAUUUCAAGUCUGUAUUAGAGAUGAGCGUUGUCUGAACAUGCUUCCAACAGAUAAAAUAUAUUCUGCACCUUAGGAACGCAAAUAACUUGAAAAUCCUUGAGACUCCCAGCUCUUUGCAAAAAGGUCAAACUCUAUCCUAAGAAAUAUUUCAUUGCAUAGAAAUAAUGGUUUAGUGUUGCCGUAUAUGAAAGUCAGAAUCUGUAAGGCUACGAAGUUAAUAACAGAUCAAGGGCUGAAGUUUUUGAAUAAUGUAGUAAAUAUUUCUUAAAUGAGUGAAAUGAUACGAUACCACGGGAAGAGAGAAAUGCGUUUUAAUAAAGAAAAUAUUGAAUGUAAGAAUAUUUCUUUAGAUCUACCAUGCAAUCUGUGUGUUCUCUAUGAGAUGUCAAACUACACGGUGCAUAUGUACACUGCGCUCUCUAUAAAUAUACAUGUGCAUGACAUAUUUCUGAAGGCAGUAAAUGAAUGCUGGGGAAAUACGGCAACAAUGAAGUUCCUAAGAGAAGGUUAGUUUUUCAAGUUAUUAAAAGAAGGUGGCAAGCAUUCAUGAGGAUAUGAAAAUUUAAAGCUGUCUGCAGGAAACUCUGAAAACCUCUGGUUAAGGCUGCUGCCAAAAAAUCUCAGCUAUGUUAUGUCAGAAUAUUUAAUUGCAAGCUGCAAUUUUAAUGAAUGGAAAGAUAUGGCAAAAGGAGGAAGUUUUCUGCAGCAACACAGAACAGCCAUGAAAAUAAAAUGCCAAAGGUUGUAAUCUUGGACGCUGUAGGAAUCAGGAAUUUCCAUCCACGUUCUGACUCCUUUUCCUACUGUGAGAGUUUGCCAGCUGCCUGGCUGAAGGGAGGUAAGCUGUUCUGGAUAUCAUCUCCUGGGCUCAAGGCAGCACUUGUUAUGUCUAUGUGAAGAAGUCAACUUCUGUGCAUUUGUUGUUACGGAUGUUUACCGAAAUGCAGCUUAGGAAUAGGAGAGGAAAAGCAAAUGUCAGAGUGCAUUAAAUAACGUAUUUUCUUUACUUUCCAAGAAGCUUGCUAGCAGCAUGAUGUUACUAUUUAUAACAGAUCUCUUAAACCCAGCUGUUGGUUCAUGUUAACAUGGAGAAUGGUGAGAAAACCCCAGCAGAAGAGUGUGAAUCCCAGAGAGACUUGUCUUCUGUCAUUGUGAAGACCUAGAAAAUAUCCCAAGUUUUGCUGAGGUAUGGAUCAGUCAUGCAGCACACGAGGCGUGCCAUGCAAAUAUUUCCUGUGGUGAUCUCUGGCAUUAGAAGGCCAGCAGCAACACAAAACAAGAAGUACCAAAUGCUGCAAGAAGCAGCUUCAGAUGGCAUAGCCUGAGCCUGUGGCUGGAAAAGUCUGAAAGAGAGAAAGAGAACUUCUACCUGUAACUCAAAACUAGCAGAUAUACUGUACACCCACAUUACAGCAUUCUUAGACAAGCUGCAUCUGAUCUAAUCUUAUGUACCUUGGCCACAGGUUCUGGAAAAACAAAUAUUCCCAAGGCAAUCGGAUUACUGAAUGUACCAUAUAACGAUGUGGAAAUAUUAGUGGUUUACAGAAGGCAGUUUAUGAAGUGGAUUGAGUGAAUUUAAUUCAUGCACUGUCAGGCAAUUUGGACUUAGAUAUAAUCAUGUUAAGAUUUCCUUAUUUUAGCUGUCUUUGGUGGAGCACCAGAGCCAAAUAGUAGCGUAUGAGCAAUACUCCCAACUACAGACAGACAGGUCAUGGGCAUUUGAUCCAAGCCAGCUUUGAGCAAGUGCAAAUCUGUGUCUGCACUGGGGUGGGGUGGGGGGGGGGUUAAUAGGGUUAUCCCAAGUAUUAGUGAAAAGGAACCAUUAUCUCCUCCUCUCUGGCUUCCUGAUCCGUAGGUAGGAGUCUCCCCUUCUCUUAUCCUUUGUUUCUCAUGAAAGUUCCCAUCCUGAAAUGCUACGAGUACAGUUUGGUUUUGUUGCAAUAAGUGGUCCUGUAAAAAAAAAACUUCAUUCACAGAGUACUUCCACCACUGUAAGUGAAACAACGUUAGGAAUUAAUCUAGCCUGUGAUUUUUAAGAAACCGUGUUCUGAAAAGCUUGUUCUCAGACCCUUCUUCCCUGUGAAGGAUAACUUAAUUGUUUGACAAAUAAGCUAAAGCUACAUAACAUUCCCCACUCAUCCAGUUUUAAAAAAUCCUGCAUUGUUUUUUAAUGCAAAGUUCACCUUUAGAAGCAUGAGAUCUAAUAUUCUUUUUCUCUAGAAUAAAGACAAAAAAAGCUCUUUUCUGGAAUAUAAGAAAUAUUUGAAAAGGAAGAGUGGGGAGCAGCCACGGUACUUCACUCUGGAGUGCUUUGUGAGAAGGUCUGAGGAUGUAAGUUAAAAGAGCAGAUACGAUUUUGGUGCUGCUGUCUCUAAAACGCUUUGAGUGGGUGGGUGGAAAUGCACUGGAAUAGAAAUGCACAGAAAAGCCUUAUUGCUGGAUGGUAACUAAAGAGCCUCGCAGUUGAACAGUCAAGAUUACGACUACUGUUGUCUUUUUGAAAUCAUUUUUUCCUUAUUGUUUUCUUUAUUUUCUGUUUUCUGGGUUUCCUUUUCCUUGUAGGAUAUCAUGGAAAUUACACUGGCAUGUUGUUUGGCCAGGGAAAGAGAUUUCAGAUGGGGUUCUUCAGUAGUUGCUUUUUUACUUCUUAGGAAUGAUCCUGGCAGAUCCUUGUGAUAAUUUCUCUAUUGUCAUAUUGGCACACAAGCAUGAUAUUCUCUGGGGCUUUUUUAUGUUGCUGCUUCUUUGGCCAGAAAUUAAUUGGUCUUAUAAAGAUGAUCUUUUUUUUUUCCCUUCUUCUUUCUUUCUUUAUUUUCCCUGUAGCGUGGAUUUGCUUUAGUCACUGACAGCUUUGCAUCCUUUGGAUUAUCCAGGUGUAUUUUGCCUUUGCAGUUGCCCUGGAAAUGAAACCUAACCCAGAACAGGGCCAUCACACCACACAGUGAUUUCAGUCAUUUUAAUAUAGAAAUCCUUCCGUGGUUUUAUUUGUGCCCACCCUGAGGAGUGAUGUUUUUCAUUUGUGCUGUUCUGACAUGUGAGAACAUCUGUGACCUACCUCCCACCUAUUCUUUUUCACUCGCUGUCCCAAAGGGGGUUGCAGAAGCAGAAGUAGCAGCAAACCAUUGGGUAUGGAAAACAACAUCAGUAAUUUCAAUUGGAUGCCACAUCUUGCACUUCCUUUUCUCAAUUGUUACAUAGGCAGCAUUUCAAUUGAGAGACGAAUAUGUUUUAGUGCUCUACUCUCCUUAACUAUUGCUUGCAAGGGACGUAUACAAAUCCCUUGAGCAACACAUGCUAUGCUUAUUUUUCUAGUGCCACUGAAACAGAGCAAUUAUUUAUCUCUUUGGCUUCCUGCUUUAUUUUUGCCAGCUUAGAAUAAUAUGAUUACAUAGUGAAAAUAAUCAAUGAGCAUAACCAGAAGUCCUUGCUCAGGGCUUGGUUAUUCAGGCUCCUACUGACUUUAGAACUUAAAGAAUUCGGGAUUUUAUCCAACGUCUUCUCAGCCUGUUAUGCUCAAGAGCUGAUUUCAUAGUAUUAAUUUUUAUAAGGGCUAUGGAUGAUAGAGUGAGGAACAAGAGCAUAAGCUACAUGCAUAUAAAAAUCAAUGCUCUUCGGACUGUUGGUGUUCAGAAAUGUAAGAAAGUGGUAUGUAUUUUCAUCUCUUAUUUAUUGCAGGUCAAUAGUAAUCAGCUUGGAAAUAUGACAGUGGGUGGCAGUGAUCUGUGUUUUGUGAUUACUUUCUCUCCCACACCUCCUGCUCGUUAUUUCCUAGAUCCAUGGAAGAACCUGCGUGCUGCUCUGAAGGAAAGGUGGAUGCCCUCACAUUAGGAGAUGGAUAAAUACUUUCCAAAUGAACUGUAUGGUACAGAUUUUGAUCUUCACAGCUGUGCGUUACUGCUUCCAGUUGAGCCCAAUAAUUGCAAACAGACAACAGAAAUUUGCGUUCAUUUUUCAGAACACAUUGGAGGCUCAACGUGUUCCCAUCCAGCGGUGCGCUGAGCACGACUGGAGGUGGUGGUGUGUCACUUUCUGACCAUUUUGGGACCUGACUGUUUGUAGCCCAUCGGUGAGUCUCUGUUUUCCAGUGGCUGCAGCUCUAAUUCUCACGUCCCAGAGCAGAGCUGGGUGCUGCUGCCCCACAGAUACCGCUGCGGUGCUCAGCUCUGCGUUCUGCACUCUUUGCCACAUGCUGCCGGACAAGAGGCAGAGCACAACUAACUUCUUUGGCAAGUAACUUUUUAGUGGGAGAAUUUUAUUCUGGGGUGCUCAGCUGCUGCCUUCUGUUGUGGGGGAGAGAUGCCAGUUUUGUAGUGGCUUUGGUUAGCAGUUGCUCUUUACUCUUUAAAGCAAAAUUAAUGGCAAAUAUGCCACGCUGCGCAGGGCGAAGGUGAGAACGUUGGGCCUUCGUGGGUUCCUCAGCCGAAGCUGUCCUUGAGGCAGCUCUGCGGGCCGCAGCCCCUCUUCCUGGGGCUGGACGGGGGCCUACAGGCCGUGACGAGGCGG